Molecule: ribosomal RNA, 422 nt
Filed under: Fusobacteriota bacterium
Lineage: Bacteria; Fusobacteriati; Fusobacteriota
Description: Fusobacteria bacterium partial 16S ribosomal RNA
Rfam family: Bacterial small subunit ribosomal RNA
Source: RNAcentral
UGGGGGAUUUUGCACAAUGGGCGCAAGCCUGAUGCAGCGACGCCGCGUGAGGGAUGAAGGCCUUCGGGUUGUAAACCUCUUUCGCUGGGUUGAAAGGCCAUGCUUUGGGUGUGGUUGAUUUGAACUGGUAAAGAAGUACCGGCUAACUACGUGCCAGCAGCCGCGGUAAUACGUAGGGUACUAGCGUUGUCCGGAUUUAUUGGGCGUAAAGGGCUUGUAGGUGGUUUGUCGCGUCUGUCGUGAAAUCCUGUGGCUUAACCAUGGGCUUGCGGUGGGUACUGGCAGGCUUGAGUGCGGUAGGGGAGACUGGAAUUCCUGGUGUAGCGGUGGAAUGCGCAGAUAUCAGGAGGAACACCGGUGGCGAAGGCGGGUCUCUGUGCCGUUACUGAAACUGAGGAGCGAAAGCGUGGGGAGCGAACAGG